RNAcentral lists this ribosomal RNA (460 nucleotides) under uncultured bacterium. RNAcentral describes it as "partial 16S ribosomal RNA". It matches the Rfam family "Bacterial small subunit ribosomal RNA", at positions 338 to 795 of the family's 1533-position model. The record is from RNAcentral.
CCUACGGGGGGCAGCAGUGAGGAAUAUUGGUCAAUGGACGAAAGUCUGAACCAGCCAAGUAGCGUGAAGGAUGACUGCCCUAUGGGUUGUAAACUUCUUUUAUAUGGGAAUAAAACAGGGUAUGCAUACCCUCUUUUAUGUACCAUAUGAAUAAGGAUCGGCUAACACCGUGACAGCAGCCGCGGUAAUACGGAGGAUCCGAGCGUUAUCCGGAUUUAUUGGGUUUAAAGGGAGCGUAGGGGGGUUGUUAAGUCAAUUGUGAAAGUUUGCGGCUCAACCGUAAAAUUGCAGUUGAAACUGGCAGUCUUGAGUACAGUAGAGGUGGGCGGAAUUCGUGGUGUAGCGGUGAAAUGCUUAGAUAUCACGAAGAACUCCGAUUGCGAAGGCAGCUCACUGGACUGCAACUGACACUGAUGCUCGAAAGUGUGGGUAUCAAACAGGAUUAGAUACCCGGGUAGUC